RNAcentral lists this ribosomal RNA (301 nucleotides) under uncultured bacterium. RNAcentral's name for it is "partial 16S ribosomal RNA". It matches the Rfam family "Bacterial small subunit ribosomal RNA", at positions 509 to 809 of the family's 1533-position model. The record is from RNAcentral.
CAGCCGCCGCGGUGAUACGUAGGUGGCAAGCGUUGUCCGGAAUUAUUGGGCGUAAAGGGCUCGCAGGCGGUUUCUUAAGUCUGAUGUGAAAGCCCCCGGCUCAACCGGGGAGGGUCAUUGGAAACUGGGAAACUUGAGUGCAGAAGAGGAGAGUGGAAUUCCACGUGUAGCGGUGAAAUGCGUAGAGAUGUGGAGGAACACCAGUGGCGAAGGCGACUCUCUGGUCUGUAACUGACGCUGAGGAGCGAAAGCGUGGGGAGCGAACAGGAUUAGAGACCCCUGUAGUCCCUGUCUCUUAUAA